Non-coding RNA from Lasiosphaeria hispida, 91 nucleotides. The record is from the annotation of a GenBank genome assembly. NCBI's taxonomy places the organism in Eukaryota, Fungi, Ascomycota, Sordariomycetes, Sordariales, Lasiosphaeriaceae.
GCCCGGCUAGCUCAAUCGGUAGAGCGUGAGACUCUUACCUGGAGAAAUCCACAUCAUCUCAAGGUUGUGGGUUCGACCCCCACGUCGGGCU